CGGUUUAUUAAGUCAGAUGUGAAAGCCCCGGGCUUAACCUGGGAACUGCAUUUGAAACUGGUCAACUAGAGUAUGGUAGAGGAAAGUGGAAUUUCUGGUGUAGCGGUGAAAUGCGUAGAUAUCAGAAGGAACAUCAAUGGCGAAGGCAGCUUUCUGGACCAAUACUGACGCUGAGGCACGAAAGCGUGGGUAGCAAACAGGAUUAGAUACCCUGGUAGUCCACGCCGUAAACGAUGAUAACUAGCCGUUGGGGGGAUUUACCCUUUAGUGGCGAAGCUAACGCGUUAAGUUAUCCGCCUGGGGAGUACGGCCGCAAGGUUAAAACUCAAAGGAAUUGACGGGGACCCGCACAAGCGGUGGAGCAUGUGGUUUAAUUCGAUGCAACGCGAAGAACCUUACCUGGUCUUGACAUCCUGCGAACUUUCUAGAAAUAGAUUGGUGCCUUCGGGAACGCAGUGACAGGUGCUGCAUGGCUGUCGUCAGCUCGUGUCGUGAGAUGUUGGGUUAAGUCCCGUAACGAGCGCAACCCCUAUCCUUAUUUGCCAGCACGUCAUGGUGGGAACUAUAAGGAGACUGCCGGUGAUAAACCGGAGGAAGGCGGGGACGACGUCAAGUCAUCAUGGCCCUUACGACCAGGGCUACACACGUGCUACAAUGGGAAGGACAAAGAGCCGCGAAGCCGCGAGGUGUAGCUAAUCUCAGAAACCUUUUCGUAGUCCGGAUUGGAGUCUGCAACUCGACUCCAUGAAGUCGGAAUCGCUAGUAAUCGUAGAUCAGAAUGCUACGGUGAAUACGUUCCCGGGUCUUGUACACACCGCCCGUCAUACCAUGGGAGUGGGUUGCACCAGAAGUGGCUAGUCUAACUUAG
This 868-nucleotide ribosomal RNA is filed under the name uncultured prokaryote. RNAcentral describes it as "bacterial SSU rRNA". It matches the Rfam family "Bacterial small subunit ribosomal RNA", at positions 576 to 1443 of the family's 1533-position model. The record is from RNAcentral.